RNAcentral lists this long non-coding RNA (368 nucleotides) under Elaeis guineensis (African oil palm). RNAcentral describes it as "long non-coding RNA (EGUI_LNC016044)". The record is from RNAcentral. Lineage: Eukaryota; Viridiplantae; Streptophyta; Magnoliopsida; Arecales; Arecaceae.
UGGGCAUGGCUUUUUUUUCCCUUAAAAAAAAGAAAAACAAAUAACGGGAACGUGAGGGGCUGGCCAAUGGGGAGCGAGCUACGGAUUUGCGCGUCCGUCCGUUCCACCGACCUCGCCCCGGGAGUACGUGGCUCGACGCGGUGCGAGCAAUAUAUCUCGCUCUGGCGGUCAACUGGCUGCGUGGGCCCCACGUAGCCUCAUCAUGCAUGCAUUGAUGCAUAUGGAUAUGAUGGGUAUGGUGAUGAGUCAGCGUCAGCGAUGGCCGGCCAAGUGGGAUGGGUCCGGUGACGAGGUUAUCCUAAUAUUCUCGUUUCAAUUACAAGAUUACCCUCAAGUACCGCAGGAGUGAGAGGACCCCGUGGGGCGUC